GCCCUGCUUUAAGGCUGGUCAGUUCUGCAAUCAAGAAAAGAAGGCUUUGAGGCGACUGCCUCAGAUCUUGGAGGACUUCUUGCAGUCAGUCAGCUGUUAGUCUUAACACCACUUGAACACAGAAAAGAGGGGAGAACUGCACCACAUCCGUGAAGAUCACCCACCGUGACUGCUUGGUGGUGCUGAGGUUGCCGUUGACCAGUGCAAUCAACUGAUCUGCCUACACCUUGGACCUGUCCAUCGUCCUCCUGCUUGAUUUCAGCUCUUCUGCACUGUAUCUGUGUUAUUCA
Molecule: long non-coding RNA, 290 nt
Organism: Grammomys surdaster
Lineage: Eukaryota; Metazoa; Chordata; Mammalia; Rodentia; Muridae
Exons: 3
Source: RefSeq, a predicted model, not a curated record